CCAUCAGUGCCAGACGCAAAGAGUUGAUACUGCUCUAGGAUACGAUACUGCUCUCAGAGCCAUUCAACAUUGGGUUUAGAUAGUGAAGAAACCUCCACUUUCGGACCCGAUGGAGAGUCAUCGGCCAGAUUCUCCAAUUGACUAUUCCGAGAAGAAGAAGUCCUAGCCAUGAAAAAAAAAUUAGAGAGAACCAAAAAAGAGAUGGACCCA
RNAcentral lists this long non-coding RNA (210 nucleotides) under Elaeis guineensis (African oil palm). RNAcentral describes it as "long non-coding RNA (EGUI_LNC035424)". Lineage: Eukaryota; Viridiplantae; Streptophyta; Magnoliopsida; Arecales; Arecaceae. The record is from RNAcentral.